This is a non-coding RNA of Agrilus planipennis (emerald ash borer), 162 nucleotides long. NCBI's taxonomy places the organism in Eukaryota, Metazoa, Arthropoda, Insecta, Coleoptera, Buprestidae. The record is from Rfam.
ACAUCUCCCUCUCCCUUAUAUCCAAAUCUUUCCCUUGGGAGUAACAGCUUUAUAGUUGAAAUCCCAUCUCGAGGAGGGGUUUUAGUCGGUAGGCGUUACGGCGAAUCCGACACUACCCCCCUUCAGGGGGUGUCUUUUGAAGAUUUUCCCUCCUCGAGGCUA